This 93-nucleotide transfer RNA is filed under the name Methylopila turkensis. Its description in RNAcentral is "tRNA-Val". The record is from RNAcentral. Lineage: Bacteria; Pseudomonadati; Pseudomonadota; Alphaproteobacteria; Hyphomicrobiales; Methylopilaceae.
CACCACGCGGGUCGAAGGAGAGGUUGGCCUCGCCUACGCCGACGCCGUCUGGGAGGCCUCGCCGUCAAUCCGGUUCGAGGCCGGCGUGUUCGC